Molecule: long non-coding RNA, 1928 nt
Organism: Scylla paramamosain (green mud crab)
Lineage: Eukaryota; Metazoa; Arthropoda; Malacostraca; Decapoda; Portunidae
Exons: 5
Source: RefSeq, a predicted model, not a curated record
AUAAACAUUUCAAUACAUUCUCAUGUUAAUGUAUUUUAUAGCAUGUUGAAAUGGAGGUAAGAUUCAAGAACGCGCGAAUAAUUUUCAAAAUGGUGUCUACGGAUUUGAAGCGUCCAGGCACUUGACGGCUGGCCCUGCUCAGCUGACUAGGAAGGAGGAGUAGGCGCAGACGUGUUUUCUGUGCGUGAAUAUUGUGUAAUUGCUUUUAGUGUGUGGGUAUCUACUUCAUCAGGGAAACCAGUUCAUCUUGGGGGUUCUUCACAUCGCUACGGUAAGUACCAUGUACAGCUCAUCGCGGGACAGCGAGGGACAGCGCUGGAGCAUCUCUUGCAGGAUGUGUCAGACGAGAAGUGAAAUCAAGUCGCAGGUUUGUGGGUGUUAGGCUGUCACUGUGCUGCUGUUAACCCGCUUGCCUUGCAGGUAUGCACUCAUCAUGUAGCCAUCUUCCACAGCUCCACAGCAGUACUUUUCCCGGUGUUCAGUGUUGAUGGCGAAGAGGGAAUUACUGGUGCCCAGUGAGAAAUACCUGCUCUAGAGUGAAGUGCUGCUUGCAUCCGAAUAGAAUGUGAGAUUCAUACUAAUCAUGGGCAGCCCCUAACGAAGAGUUUUUUUUGUGGAUUUGAUGGCACAGUAACCAAGGCGCAGCUUCAAGACAAGUGCAUCAUGCUAAGUUCCCCAAACGAGAAGGGCGCGUUGUUCCUGGCGGCGAGGCACGAGGUGGGGGCUGUCGAGACGCUGCAGCCACAAGAAUUGGGACCCCGCCUCUCUCCCGUGCUGUGAGUGGGUCAUUUCCGAGACGCAAGGUGAGGAACUGCGGCCUUACCUUCCGAUACAACCGAAAAAGCUGUCAGAACCUUCCCCCCCCGCAUGCGUGUGUAUGUUGUGCACGUGAAGGUGUAUCGUGCGAGAGGCCAGAAAUGAUGCGCUCCAUUCAUUGAAAAGAUAAAGAAGUCAUAGAAAACCAUCAUGUACUAGCGAAAUACUCCAAUACUCUCAUCCCACUGCGGUGAAAAUAAAAUCUCAGUCAACGCGUCAUUAAUACAGGCAGUCAUGAAAACACUCCUGGGAUGCAGACGGCGGGGCACCAGAGCGCGUCCAACACUCACCAUGCAAUCCUAUUACCCACUCAGCCGUCACCCCGCCAAGUGCCGGCUGGUGUGUGCUUGGGGCCCGCUAGUAAGUCGGAACUCUUCGCUGCACCUGUCCAGCGGGGGGAGGCAGGCGGCAGCACGGCCAGCCAGCGGUGGGCGGUGCAGGUGUUGUUGGCUCCAGCGGCAGGUGUUUCAACUUUAAUGCUGCUUUAUCAGUGGUUGAAAAUCAAUCAGUGUGGGAGUGACGUGUGCAAAGAAACCGCGGUGCCAGCGACAGCGUGCACACACACACACACACACACACACACACACACACACACACACACACACACACACACACACACACACACACACACACACACACACACACACACACACACACACACACACACACACACUUGGCUUGCUCACUGGUAACAUCCUCGCCUGUCACUAGGUAGGCUAAGGUUCGCGCCCUGCUCUGGUUGCUCGUCUUUUUGACUGAACAGUGAGCAGUUAUUGUCCUCCUUGGUAGUAAGAUGGGUUGCGUGGCGGAUAAUAUGAUAAGCAACAGUUUUAAGGCAGUGGAACUCAACGUGAUUAACUUGAGGUCACAUAUUUGCUACUUUCUACUUUCUUUCUCCGGGAGGGCAGAGGUAGCGACACACACACACACACACACACACACACACACACACACACACACACACAUGAUCAACAAACUGUAUACGUACUUCAUUCCUUGUUACGUGCCUGGCUUGCUUGUCUUACACGUCAUGAGAGAGAGAGAGAGAGAGAGAGAGAGAGAGAGAGAGAGAGAGAGAGAGAGAGAGAGAGAGAGAGAGAGAGAGAGAGAGA